This is a long non-coding RNA of Amphiprion ocellaris (clown anemonefish), 788 nucleotides long. Lineage: Eukaryota; Metazoa; Chordata; Actinopteri; Pomacentridae. The record is from Ensembl.
GUUUGAAAAACUGACCAACAGCUCAGAUUUAACUGUCUGUAGUUCCAUUUUGAUGGAUGUUAAACUUUCACUCAAAGCUGCCAGGAGCUGGGUCUUUAAAAUAACCGCCGUCUCAUUACAGAGUGAAAGUAGCAGUUCCUCCUGAAGGUCAGAGAUUGCAGCAUCUGAGGGCCUCUUCAAAAGAAGACGUAGCUGAUGAAGGUAUUCUGGAGCAGGACCAGAAAGACCACGACCAAGCAGCCUUGAGAUCUUAGGCAGCGUCUCCCUCAGGUCCCUCUCUAUCUCCCCACACAUCCACCAACCACUGGAACACAUCUCCAAAGUUCUGCUGGACCAGCUCAGCUUCCCCUCAGAAGAAGUGCUGCCACCUGACAGAUGAAGGAGCCUUUUGAGAGGCAGCUGGCAUCGUGAUUGGACUGUACUUUGGUCUGUUCCAAUCCAGCUUCAGCUCCAGAGACGGCAGGCGGGACGAGUCAACGGAGGCCGGGUGGACGAAGGCAUGCAGCUGAGUACAAUCCAGAAAACAACAGAGGAGGAGUGCAGCAGCCCAGAGCCAGAACAACCAGAGUAGCAUCACCAAAGAACUACAGACUCUUCACAACCUGCUCAAACUCUUGGUACAGGACCUCACCACACGGGUCAAGAAGGUUUCUGUCUCAUUUCUACUCUGAAGCUCACCUUCUCCUGCUCAAACUGCUGACAAAUGUUUCUGCUGCUCUAAAGUCUGCUCUCCAGAACUUCCUAAAAAAAUCUCAAAGUCUCUUCUGCUACAGGUUGCUUUGUAGAAC